GGGGGCCCGCACAAGCGGCGGAGCAUGCGGAUUAAUUCGAUGCAACGCGAAGAACCUUACCAAGGCUUGACAUGGACCGGACCGGGCUGGAAACAGUCCUUCCCCUUUGGGGCCGGUUCACAGGUGGUGCAUGGUUGUCGUCAGCUCGUGUCGUGAGAUGUUGGGUUAAGUCCCGCAACGAGCGCAACCCUCGUUCUAUGUUGCCAGCGCGUUAUGGCGGGGACUCAUAGGAGACUGCCGGGGUCAACUCGGAGGAAGGUGGGGACGACGUCAAAUCAUCAUGCCCCUUAUGUCUUGGGCUUCACGCAUGCUACAAUGGCCGGUACAAAGGGUUGCGAUACUGUGAGGUGGAGCUAAUCCCAAAAAGCCGGUCUCAGUUCGGAUUGGGGUCUGCAACUCGACCCCAUGAAGUCGGAGUCGCUAGUAAUCGCAGAUCAGCAACGCUGCGGUGAAUACGUUCCCGGGCCUUGUACACACCGCCCGUCAAGUCACGAAAGUUGGUAACACCCGAAGCCGGUGGCCUAACCCCUUGUGGGAGGGAGCUGUCGAAGGUGGGACUGGCGAUUGGGACUAAGUCGUAAGCAAGGUAACCGUAAGGGC
This 600-nucleotide ribosomal RNA is filed under the name uncultured bacterium. RNAcentral describes it as "bacterial SSU rRNA". It matches the Rfam family "Bacterial small subunit ribosomal RNA", at positions 915 to 1509 of the family's 1533-position model. The record is from RNAcentral.